AAGAUUAUACUUCACAGAAUCAUUUCUGUAGUAUAUCUUCCUUUCUCUCUACUCAACAGUAGAAUAGAAAACUCCACGAUGAUGAGGUGUAAUCCUCUUCCCUGAGCGUGAGGCCGACUUCAGUGGACAUUGCCCGUUUGCCCGUCAUGUCCCUGAGUCAUCGAUGACCGUUCUUUGGAUCUUCGGGUUCAAGAUGGGAAGGGGAUAACCUGAGUGGC
This is a small nucleolar RNA of Thrips palmi, 218 nucleotides long. RefSeq annotates it as small nucleolar RNA U3. The transcript has a single exon. NCBI's taxonomy places the organism in Eukaryota, Metazoa, Arthropoda, Insecta, Thysanoptera, Thripidae. The record is from RefSeq and is a predicted model, not a curated record.